Flavobacterium sp. LM5 is the source of this 71-nucleotide non-coding RNA. Lineage: Bacteria; Pseudomonadati; Bacteroidota; Flavobacteriia; Flavobacteriales; Flavobacteriaceae. The record is from Rfam.
CUUUAGCCCCGAUCGCAGUGAAAAUCCCCCGCUUUUUCUGCGGGGAAUUGUAGCGAAGAGCGGGAACGAUG